GGGGGAUCUUGCGCAAUGGACGAAAGUCUGACGCAGCCACGCCGCGUGAGUGAAGAAGGCCUUCGGGUUGUAAAGCUCUGUCGGAAGGGACGAGAAGCAUUUGGGUUAACAGCCCAAGUGCCUGACGGUACCUUUAAAGGAAGCACCGGCUAACUCUGUGCCAGCAGCCGCGGUAAGACAGAGGGGGCAAGCGUUGUCCGGAGUUACUGGGCGUAAAGCGCGCGUAGGCGGUACGGUAAGUAAGGGGUGAAAGCCCCAGGCUUAACCUGGGGAGGUUAUCUUCGACUGCCGCACUCGAGUCGUGCAGAGGGUUGUGGAAUUGCCGGUGUAGUGGUGAAAUGCGUAGAGAUCGGCAGGAACACCAAGGGCGAAAGCAGCCACCUGGGCACGUACUGACGCUGAGGUGCGAAAGCGUGGGGAGCGAAC
Molecule: ribosomal RNA, 426 nt
Filed under: uncultured bacterium
Lineage: Bacteria
Description: bacterial SSU rRNA
Rfam family: Bacterial small subunit ribosomal RNA
Source: RNAcentral